UACGAAGGGGGCUAGCGUUGUUCGGAAUUACUGGGCGUAAAGCGUGCGCAGGCGGCUUCUCAAGUCAGGGGUGAAAGCCCAGAGCUCAACUCUGGAAUUGCCUUUGAGACUGAGUGGCUUGAGUACGGGAGAGGUGAGUGGAAUUCCCAGUGUAGAGGUGAAAUUCGUAGAUAUUGGGAAGAACACCGGUGGCGAAGGCGGGUCUCUGGGCAGUAACUGACGCUGAGGAGCGAAAGCGUGGGGAGCGAACAGG
Molecule: ribosomal RNA, 253 nt
Filed under: uncultured bacterium
Lineage: Bacteria
Description: partial 16S ribosomal RNA
Rfam family: Bacterial small subunit ribosomal RNA
Source: RNAcentral